RNAcentral lists this transfer RNA (59 nucleotides) under Loxodonta africana (African savanna elephant). It matches the Rfam family "tRNA", at positions 14 to 71 of the family's 71-position model. From Rfam's summary of the family: Transfer RNA (tRNA) molecules are approximately 80 nucleotides in length. Lineage: Eukaryota; Metazoa; Chordata; Mammalia; Proboscidea; Elephantidae. The record is from Rfam by way of RNAcentral.
AGUGGUUAAGUAUUUGUCUGUUAAUCAAAAGGUUGGUGGUUCAAACCCACCAGCUGCUC